Mesocricetus auratus (golden hamster) is the source of this 1497-nucleotide long non-coding RNA. RefSeq lists it as uncharacterized. The record is from RefSeq and is a predicted model, not a curated record. NCBI's taxonomy places the organism in Eukaryota, Metazoa, Chordata, Mammalia, Rodentia, Cricetidae. The transcript is spliced from 6 exons.
UUAAAAUAGCCAAGUAAAACAGGAAGCAUGUCUUUUUCUUUUUGCUGCAGUUCUAAUUCAGACUGGAAUAAUUCUAUAGUACGUUUAAAAGUGAAAAAUAAGUCACAGUUUCGGCAGAGCGGCUGGCUGUUAUGAUAAAUCUCCUCUGAAGCAGACGUAUUCCAGUUCUACUGAAGUGAUUGUCAUCAAGGGGUUGUUUGCUGUGGUGCUCACAGAUGGCAGCAAAGACAGCCCAGGAACGCAAACAGCCUGAUAAUCAAGAUAGCCUGAAAAUAUGGCAGAACAGGCACUCCACUUGGGGAUGCCAACUGAAUAGAAAUUAAAUGAACUGCUCGACCACAAGUGCCUGAGGAAUUGCAGAGCCAGUUGGAGGUAUCGACUCUCCCUGCCUGCCUGUGAGAGAGAAAAAACAAGGGGAGCGACACAGAAAGCCAAAGGCACCGAGGGUUAGACAGCCCCUGUGCCUCCUCAGCUUCUCAGAGCACAACAGCAAAGUUCCAUAGAGCCUUCUGCCCAUCCAUUCUUCCUGCCUCCCAGUCACUUGCAGUUGGUUUGAUGCAUUCAGAUUGGGCCUUUGAUCUCAUUGUAACUUGGAGAUGACACCUUGCAAGCAGGGGGAAGAAAAGUCAUCAUAAGGACAGGAGGUCUUCACUGGGAAAUCUGUCCCUUGAAAACAACAAAUGCCUCCCACAUUUCAUUAUGCCAGUGCUCAUGGAUCUCAAGUAAGGACUGGCUUAAAUGGAAGACAAAAGGACCUUAAGCUCUAUGUGAUGGUAAGGUUGAGGAAUAGAAGGCAGUGCUCUUGGUGAAAUCUAAGAUGGGAACAAUGAAGCUACUGCAACAGAUUGACUAGAGCACAUCAGUAGCUCUUAGAACCAUGCAUUGAUUCUGACCACUGUAAGACUGCAGCUUCCAGCCAUGCUGGCCUUUGACCAUUGGCUUGCGGUACUUCUACCUGGGCAAGGAGAGGAGCACCACCGUGAGCAACAGAGCACAUGGCCCACCACUCCAGAGCCUGAAGCCAAAGCUCUCAGAGGAAAGCCUCAGUCAGUAGCUGGUGACAGUUUGAAACCCUUGUUUCCUGUGUCCCUGAGUCCAAAUGUGUGGAUGAAGAUCAUAGCACAUAAUUCCGCAAGUGAGGAAAAUAACACAGAAAGGGAAACUGUCCCUCUCUAAUCACCUAAUGACAGAUCUAGGAAGUGAGCUCCAGCUUUCUGUUUUAAUAAGCCUGAUCACAACACAUGCCAGCCAGCUGCCUUAUUCUCCUUUCAAAGAAGGAACAGUGUCUGUAUUUCAAGAAAGGAGAACAUCUCUUGUCAGAGGGGAAGGUGUUGCUGUGUAAAUUUGUAUUUUAUUAGGUCACUAAACUGAAAUUCAAGAGAUAGGAAAAUCAGCAAAAACAAACAAGUCCUUAAAAGAGAGAUAAUAUUGAAACCGUGGCAGUGUCUGAAACUGAACCAAUCUGCAUGUGUAGUAAUAAAGACGUAGCGAUACCAA